This 465-nucleotide ribosomal RNA is filed under the name uncultured bacterium. RNAcentral describes it as "partial 16S ribosomal RNA". It matches the Rfam family "Bacterial small subunit ribosomal RNA", at positions 28 to 507 of the family's 1533-position model. The record is from RNAcentral.
GACGAACGCUGGCGGCGUGCUUAACACAUGCAAGUCUAACGGAAAGGCCCCUUUUUUGUUCCUCGAUUGUCUAACGGUUGCGUAACACGUGAGUAACCUGCCCUUCCCUUCCGUUUAACUUCAGGAAACUGUUGCUAAUACCGAAUAGAAAUCCUUGCUGCCUGGUGUGGGUUUGAAAGCUUCUGCUGUUUUGGAUGUACUAGCGGGUUAUCUCCUUGUUGGUUGGGUAGUGGUUUACCAAGGCUUUGACGGGUAGGCGGCCUGAGAGGGGGGCCGGCCACAUUGGGAAUGAGAAACGGCGCAGACAACUACGGGAGGCAGCAGGGGGGAAGAAUGCACAAAGGGAGGAAGGCGGAAGCAGCAAAGACGGGGGCGGGAUGAAGGAAUUCGGGUUGUAAAACGACUUGAGCAGGGGCGAAGAUUGUGGUGACGGUACCUGCAGAAGAAGCACCGGCUAACUACGUG